CCCGAGGGGUGAUGACAAUAAAAGGCCGAAUUGCAGUGCUUCCCCCAGCAGUUGGUUCUCGGUAGGGACACGAUGACAGGAACCCCAGAGCGAGACUGUCUGACCUCGGG
Molecule: small nucleolar RNA, 110 nt
Organism: Mobula hypostoma (lesser devil ray)
Lineage: Eukaryota; Metazoa; Chordata; Chondrichthyes; Myliobatiformes; Myliobatidae
Product: small nucleolar RNA SNORD89
Exons: 1
Source: RefSeq, a predicted model, not a curated record